This 1906-nucleotide long non-coding RNA is filed under the name Mus musculus (house mouse). RNAcentral's name for it is "RIKEN cDNA 2610035D17 gene". The record is from RNAcentral. Lineage: Eukaryota; Metazoa; Chordata; Mammalia; Rodentia; Muridae.
GUGACGGCGAAUGUGGGGGCGGCUCCCAACAGUCACCCAUCCAUUAGUGGCUCAUGUGUUCUUAAGACAAACUCAGCAGGCUGUACCUGUCCAGAGCUCCCUCACGAGAUUCUUGUGAAACAAAAGGAGCUCCUCUCUAGAAGAUCUUGAAAAGUCAAGUGUGGGGAGGCAACCGCAGAGCCCUACUUCCUGGAUGGGAAGACGGAUGCUGAGGAAGGUGCCGCCUUGUAACCAGAUGUUAUCCAUCCACACUGGACGGGAGGAAAUGAGCCUCAGGGGCCCUGGGAAUUCUGGCCAGAUUUAUAAGAACAUCUUCAAAUGUAGAAGCUUCAGAGUCCUUGGGAGUGUCCGCAGGAAUUGGUGAGCUCGGAAGGACCUCUCUGGAGUCCACCAAUAUCAAGUCGAUUGCCAAGCAUCCUGAUACUUACCUGUUUACUCAGCUGUCAGCUAUGUGCCAAGCGCAGAUACCCUUAAGUUGUAUGUGGCGGUUGUCAAUGUCUUCCCAAAGAAGAGACACACACCUGCUUGUUCACAGAGCUCUGCAAUCAGAUGAUGGGCGUGGACCAAAAGGAGUCUGCAGAACCAUCGAUAGCCUUCUGGGAGUCUUAUCAGAUGAGACUCAGUUCCGCUUCUGGACCCCUGACUCCUCCUCAGGGCCUUCUUUGGAAUCAUGGCAUGAUGACGUCCCUCGUCCUCAUCUCUUUGCCCUCAUACCCUCAUAUGAUCCUCUAUUAGACACGUGAAACCAGAGCUUCUGCCUGCAUGGAACAAGAGCAAGAGAAAGCUGCCUGGGUCACCGUCCCACCUGAGGGCUAUCUGUCUGUCCCACAAAGCAGACAGCACAAGAGGAAGUCUGUGGGGCCGAGGAGACUGACCUGCUUAUCCAUGCUACUUAUCAGGAACUGUGGAACCAUGGAGAACAUGACCCUGGCCCUCCCUUCAGGAUCUGCCUGAGAUCUGGCUGCCUCUUGAGACACUAGAGCCCUGGAUUCAAUUGCGGAACAUUAUGUUGGAGAAUAUAAACACUUCUAGACUGUGCCGGCAUUUGGGAAGGAAUAGUCUGUUUUGACUUGAAUGAACAAAGACAUACGUCUCUGGGCCUGGGGAAGGCUUACCAGCUCAGCUCAUCUACUGUCUGGUGGCAAACAUGUCCUGGGUACUGCCACUACCCAGGACACUCUUCCUCACUCUGUCCCUGUCCAGUUACCGCACCCUUCCCUGUCUGACCCCGCCUCCUGUGCCCACUCGCCUCUGGACCCAGAGAUUCUUCUUGUUUGCUCUAUCAUCCUUGAGCCGGAUACAGGGUGAAUAGUUAACCACACUUGGGUUGAAUGGGAUCUUGAUUCUUAUUUCUGUUCCUUGGAAAGAGGGGUCAGACUCGGUGCGUGGCACCCGGCCUGGAAGCAGCACAAGACUCCAGAGUGAUACAUGAUCUGCCUGGAUGGUCCCAGGGGCUCUUUGGAGGUCAGAGCAAGAGGAGCAGCCUGAGCAGGGGGGCUGAGGAGGGCCGGCACUGGAUCACACGCAGGCGUAUGUCUGGAUAGGCAGAGAGGAACCCACUUUUCAUUCCCUCUUCUGUGACACAAAUGCAAGGAACUUUGAAGACACUCUUCGGAGGUUGCAAUCGGAGAUCAGCUUAUCCAAGGGCUUCAUGUCUGAGCUCUGUUGGUCGUGCCUCCUGAGGACCUCUUUCCUCUACUGUAUGCUGAUGACACACCCAUCCGAUGGGAGCUGGAGCCUUGUCUGGUCCUUUCCUCUAUGACCCCACGUGUACAGUUGGAAAUCCUUCCUAAUCAUGCCUUGAUUCCCCCUUUUCGACUACACUCAAAGAUGUUUGAGCUGUUUUAUUUGCAAAAUGGAUGGACAGUUUGUUUAUAUAAAACAAUCCCAGCUUCCUUGUGCUCUA